AUUGAACGCUGGCGGCAGGCCUAACACAUGCAAGUCGAGCGGAGCGUCGGAAGGGUGAGUAAUGCCUAGGAAUCUGCCUGGUAGUGGGGGAUAACGUCCGGAAACGUGCGCUAAUACCACAUACUAUCAGAUGAGCCUAGGUCGGAUUAGCUAGUUGGUGGGGUAAAGGCCUACCAAGGCGACGAUCCGUAACUGGUCUGAGAGGAUGAUCAGUCACACUGGAACUGAGACACGGUCCAGACUCCUACGGGAGGCAGCAGUGGGGAAUAUUGGACAAUGGGCGAAAGCCUGAUCCAGCCAUGCCGCGUGUGUGAAGAAGGUCUUCGGGUUGUAAAGUACUUUCAGUCGGGAGGCGUUACCGACAGAAGAAGCACCGGCUAACUCCGUGCCAGCCGCCGCGGUAAUAC
Molecule: ribosomal RNA, 407 nt
Filed under: uncultured bacterium
Lineage: Bacteria
Description: partial 16S ribosomal RNA
Rfam family: Bacterial small subunit ribosomal RNA
Source: RNAcentral